UCAGGAUGAACGCUAGCGACAGGCCUAACACAUGCAAGUCGAGGGGCAGCAGGGUAGCAAUACCGCUGGCGACCGGCGCACGGGUGAGUAACGCGUAUGUAACCUGCCCAUAAGUGGGGGAUAGCCCAGCGAAAGCUGGAUUAAUACCGCAUAACACCGAUUGAUGACAUCAAAUAUCGGUUAAAGAUUCAUUGCUUAUGGAUGGACAUGCGUCCGAUUAGCUAGUUGGCGGGGCAACGGCCCACCAAGGCGACGAUCGGUAGGGGUUCUGAGAGGAAGGUCCCCCCACAUUGGUACUGAGACACGGACCAAACUCCUACGGGAGGCAGCAGUGAGGAAUAUUGGUCAAUGGGCGGAAGCCUGAACCAGCCAAGUCGCGUGAAGGAUGAAGGUAUUUAAUGUAUUGUAAACUUCUUUAGCAGCAGAGUAAUAAGGGGGUCGUGACCUCCGAUGCAAGUAUGCUGAGAAUAAGCAUCGGCUAACUCCGUGCCAGCAGCAGC
RNAcentral lists this ribosomal RNA (500 nucleotides) under uncultured bacterium. Its description in RNAcentral is "bacterial SSU rRNA". It matches the Rfam family "Bacterial small subunit ribosomal RNA", at positions 24 to 518 of the family's 1533-position model. The record is from RNAcentral.